Molecule: ribosomal RNA, 502 nt
Filed under: uncultured Glomeromycotina
Lineage: Eukaryota; Fungi; Glomeromycota
Description: partial small subunit ribosomal RNA
Rfam family: Eukaryotic small subunit ribosomal RNA
Source: RNAcentral
CCAAUAGCGUAUAUUAAAGUUGUUGCAGUUAAAAAGCUCGUAGUUGAAUUUCGGAAUCUGUCCAUCGGUCGGGCUUCACUGUCCGUACUGGUGUGGUGGGUUCUUACCUUCUGAAUAACCAGCAUGCCAUUCAUUUGGUGCGUUGGGGAAGCAGGACUAUUACCUUGAAAAAAUUAGAGUGCUCAAAGCAGGCUAGUGCCUGAAUAUAUUAGCAUGGAAUAAUAAAAUAGGACGGCAUGGUUCUAUUUUGUUGGUUUCUAGGAUCACCGUAAUGAUUAAUAGGGAUAGUUGGGGGCAUUAGUAUUCAAUUGUCAGAGGUGAAAUUCUUGGAUUUAUUGAAGACUAACUUCUGCGAAAGCAUUUGCCAAGGAUGUUUUCAUUAAUCAAGAACGAAAGUUAGGGGAUCGAAGACGAUCAGAUACCGUCGUAGUCUUAACCAUAAACUAUGCCGCCUAGGGAUCGGACGAUGUUAAUUUUUUAAUGACUCGUUCGGCGCCUUACG